GACGAACCGUGCGAACGUUAUUCGGAAUCACUGGGCUUAAAGCGCGUGUAGGCGGAUCGCCGCGUCGGCUGCUGAAAUCCCCCGGCUCAACCGGGGAACGGGCACCGAUACGGGCGGUCUGGAGGGGGGUAGGGGGGCCUGGAACUUCCGGUGGAGCGGUGAAAUGCGUUGAGAUCGGAAGGAACGCCCGUGGCGAAAGCGAGGCCCUGGACCCUUACUGACGCUGAGACGCGAAAGCCAGGGGAGCGAACGGG
Molecule: ribosomal RNA, 254 nt
Filed under: uncultured bacterium
Lineage: Bacteria
Description: partial 16S ribosomal RNA
Rfam family: Bacterial small subunit ribosomal RNA
Source: RNAcentral